RNAcentral lists this ribosomal RNA (468 nucleotides) under uncultured bacterium. RNAcentral describes it as "partial 16S ribosomal RNA". It matches the Rfam family "Bacterial small subunit ribosomal RNA", at positions 28 to 507 of the family's 1533-position model. The record is from RNAcentral.
GACGAACGCUGGCGGCGUGCUUAACACAUGCAAGUCGAACGGAAAGGCCCUGCUUUUGUGGGGUGCUCGAGUGGCGAACGGGUGAGUAACACGUGAGUAACCUUCCCUUUACUUUGGGAUAACUUCAGGCAACUGGGGCUAAUACCGGAUAGGAGCUCCUGCUGCAUGGUGGGGGUUGGAAAGUUUCGGCGGUUGGGGAUGUACUCGCGGCUUAUCAGCUUGUUGGUGGGGUAGUUGCUUACCAAGGCUUUGACGGGUAGCCGGCCUGAGAGGGUGAACGGCCACAUUGGGACUGAGAUACGGCCCAGACGCCUACGGGAGGCAGCAGUGGGGAAUAUUGCACAAUGGGCGGAAGCCUGAUGCAGAAACGCCGCGUGCGGGAUGACGGCCUUCGGGGUGUAAACCGCUUCCGCCUGUGACGAAGCGUGAGUGACGGUAAUGGGUAAAGAAGCACCGGCUAACUACGUG